AGAGUUUGAUCAUGGCUCAGGAUGAACGCUAGCGGGAGGCCUAACACAUGCAAGCCGAGCGGUAGAGAUCUUUCGGGAUCUUGAGAGCGGCGUACGGGUGCGGAACACGUGUGCAACCUGCCUUUAUCUGGGGGAUAGCCUUUCGAAAGGAAGAUUAAUACCCCAUAAUAUAUUAGAUGGCAUCAUUUGAUAUUGAAAACUCCGGUGGAUAGAGAUGGGCACGCGCAAGAUUAGAUAGUUGGUGAGGUAACGGCUCACCAAGUCAGUGAUCUUUAGGGGGCCUGAGAGGGUGAUCCCCCACACUGGUACUGAGACACGGACCAGACUCCUACGGGAGGCAGCAGUGAGGAAUAUUGGACAAUGGGUGAGAGCCUGAUCCAGCCAUCCCGCGUGAAGGACGACGGCCCUAUGGGUUGUAAACUUCUUUUGUAUAGGGAUAAACCUUUCCACGUGUGGAAAGCUGAAGGUACUAUACGAAUAAGCACCGGCUAACUCCGUGCCAGCAGCCGCGGUAAUACGGAGGGUGCAAGCGUUAUCCGGAUUUAUUGGGUUUAAAGGGUCCGUAGGCGGGCUCGUAAGUCAGUGGUGAAAUCUCAUAGCUUAACUAUGAAACUGCCAUUGAUACUGCGAGCCUUGAGUAAGGUAGAGGUAGCUGGAAUAAGUAGUGUAGCGGUGAAAUGCAUAGAUAUUACUUAGAACACCAAUUGCGAAGGCAGGUUACCAUGUCUUAACUGACGCUGAUGGACGAAAGCGUGGGGAGCGAACAGGAUUAGAUACCCUGGUAGUCCACGCCGUAAACGAUGCUAACUCGUUUUUGGGUUUUCGGAUUCAGAGA
Molecule: ribosomal RNA, 835 nt
Filed under: uncultured Flavobacteriia bacterium
Lineage: Bacteria; Pseudomonadati; Bacteroidota; Flavobacteriia
Description: bacterial SSU rRNA
Rfam family: Bacterial small subunit ribosomal RNA
Source: RNAcentral